RNAcentral lists this long non-coding RNA (3409 nucleotides) under Sus scrofa (pig). Its description in RNAcentral is "lncRNA (ENSSSCG00035027953.1)". The record is from RNAcentral. Lineage: Eukaryota; Metazoa; Chordata; Mammalia; Artiodactyla; Suidae.
UUUAGGUGGAGGGUUAAGUUGUCAAUUUGGGAUCUUUCUUCUUUUUUGAGAAAGGCCUGGAUUGCUAUAAAUUUCCCUCUGAGCACUGCUUUCGCAGCAUCCCAUAGAUUUUGAGAGGUUGUGUCUUCAUUAUCAUUUGUUUCAAGGUAGUUUUUAAUUUCCUUCUUGAUUUCCUCAUUGACCCAUUGGUUUUUUAGUAGCAUGUUGUUUAGUCUCCAUGUAGUAGGUUUUUUCUCUUUCCUUUUCCCAUGGUUGAUUUCUAAUUUCAUGGCAUUGUGGUCAGAGAAGAUACUUGAGAUAAUUUCUAUGCUCCUAAAUUUAUUGAGAUUCGCUUUGUGUCCCAAUAUGUGGUCGAUUCUUGAGAAUGUUCCAUGAGCAUUUGAGAAGAAUGUGUAUUCUGAUUUUUUUGGAUGUAGUGUCCUGAAGAUAUCAAUUAAGUCUAACUUUUCUAUUGUUUCCUUUAGGAUCUCUGUUGCUUUAUUGGUUUUCUGUCUAGAGGAUCUGUCCAUUGAUGUGAGGGGGGUAUUUAGGUCUCCUACUAUGAUUGUAUUCUCAUCAAUAUCUCCCUUUAUGUCUGUUAAUAUUUGUUGUAUGUAUCUGGGUGCUCCUAUAUUUGGGGCAUAUAUGUUGAUGAUAGUAACAUCCUCUCCUUGGAUGGAUCCCUUAAUCAUUAAAUAGUGUCCUUCUUUGUCUUUCUUUAUGUCUUUUGUUUUAAAGUCUAUUUUGUCUGAUAUGAGCGUUGCGACUCCUGCUUUUCUGUCAUGUCUAUUGGCGUGAAAUAUUUUUCCCCACCCUUUCACUUUCAAUCUAUAUGUAUCUUUUGUCCUAAGGUGAGUUUCUUGUAGGCAGCAUAUUGAAGGUUUUUGCCUUUUUAUCCACUCAGCCACUCUGUGUCUUUUGAUUGGGGCAUUCAGUCCAUUGACAUUUAAGGUGAUAAUUGAUAGAUGAUUAUUUAUUGCCAUUUGAACCUCGUGUUCCAGUUGAUUCUAUGGUUCUCCAUUCUUCCUUUCUUUUUUUUUUUUUUUUUGGUUGGAUGGUCUCCUGUUAUUAUCUGCUUGAGUGUAUUUUUUUUUUCAUUUUUUGCAAAUGCAAUAUUUGGUUUUGGCUUGUGGUUGCCCUGUUUUUUAAGUAUGCUAACCCCUUCCCAUAAUUGUGUGUUUUAGCCUGAUGGUCCUGUAAGUUCAAACACUUCAUUACUAUAUUAAAAUUAAGAAGAGAGACAUACAUACAAACAAAAAGGGUUAUUUACCUCCUAACAUCCCUUGCCCACAUUUUAUGGUUUUGAUGACUCUUUUUUAUUUUUUUCUUUUUAAUUUUAUUUUGUUUGAAGCAUGUUCAUGAUUAAAUCUGUAUGCUGGCUUAUUUGAGUGACUGCUCUCUGAUUGCGGUUUCCUCAGUCCUAGUUCUUCCUCUUCUUCUUCUUUUUUUUUUUUUUUUUUUUUCUUUUUUCUUCCCUUUCCUUCCUUUCUUUUUGGUUUAGAGAAGCCCUUUCAAUAUUUCCUUUAACCUGGGUUUUGUGUUGCUGUAUUCUUUAAGUUUUUGUUUGUUGGGAAAAAUUUUUAUUUCCCCUUCUAUUUUAAAUGAUAUUCUUGCUGGAUAGAGUAUUCUAGGUUGCAUAUUUUUUCCUUUGAGCACUUUAAAUAUCUCUUGCCAUUCCCUCCUGGCCUGUAGUGUUUCUGUAGAGAAAUCAGCUGAUAUUCUUAUGGGGGUUCCCUUGUAGGUAACAUUCUGUUUUUCUCUUGCUGCCUUUAGGAUCCUCUCUUUAUCACUAACUUUUGCCAUUUUUAUUAUGAUGUGUCUUGGUGUGGGUCUGUUUGGGUUCAGUUUGUUUGGGGCCCUCUGUGCUUCUUGUAUCUUGAAUCCAGUAUCCUUUAGAUUUGGGAAGUUUCCAGCGAUAAUUUCUUCAAAUAUAUUUUCCAUCCCCUUAUAUUUUCUACUCCUUCUGGAAUUCCUAUUAUGCGUAGAUUGGCCCACUUUAUAUUAUCCCAUAGGUCUCUUAUAUUGCUUUCCAGUUUUUUGAUUCGGUUUUCUGUCUGAUGACUGGAUUGAGUGAUUUCCAUUAUUCUAUCGUCCAUAUCACUGAUUCGUUCUUCUGCAUUAUUCAUUCUGGUUUUUACUGCCCUUAGUUCCGUUUGUAUCACUGCAAAUGAAUGUUCUACUAUUUCUUGGCUCCUCCUUAUAUUUUCUAGCUCCUUUCUGAGGGUAUCUGCAUUACUGUUCAUAUCUUCUCUUAAUUCCUUCAGUAUUUUCACUAUUUCUCUUUUGAACUCCAGGUCUGUCAGACUGCAGAGAUCUGUUUCAUUGUUGACUGUUUUAGGUGAGUUCUCCUGUUGGUUUGACUGGGGGUGGUUUCUCAGCUUCUUCAUCUUGCUUGUUGUUUUCUUUCUCCUGAGGGAGUUGUACUCUCUGUUAUCGGGCAGUGUUUGCCUUGUCACUGCCGUGGAAUAUUUCCUGAGGGCUGGCGUUGUUGGUCAAUCUUUUUUGAGGCAGUGUGGCUUUUCUGGAGUGUUGAUGGGGCUAACAGUGUUUCUUUGAAGCAAAGGAGGACUUCCUGAGGGCAGACAGGACUGGGAGGUCCACACCACGAUGGUAGCAGAUUUCACUUGGUCAUGCAGAGCUUGCUCUGGUGUUUUUAGGCUGUGGGGUUCUUGCAGGGGGUUGGCGGUGUUGGGCAGCUGCUCUUCAGGGGUGCAUCACCCCCUGGGGGCUGGAGCAGCUAUCUGGGUCACUGAGAACCUAAGAGGCUCUUCCCUAGGGCAGCCCAACUCAGAAGGACAGCCUGAGAAUGUAGGCGGAUCUUUUCACAGUCUGGCCGAGCUUGUUGCAGCUUUUCUGGGCUGCAGGGGCUCUUCUAGGGGACUGGUGUCCUAUGCAGCUGAUCCACUAGGGCACCCCCUGGGGGCUUGGGCAGGUAGCAGGGCCGUUGGAAAUCCAAGAGGCUCCUCCCUGGGGCAGCCCGUCUCAGAAAAACCAUCCGAGAAUUAGGCCGAUCUGUUCACGGCCUGGCUAGGCUUGUUCUAGCUUUUCUGGGCUACAGGCCUUUUCUCAGGGGCUGGUGGUGUUUGGUGCUGCUCUGCAGAAGUGUAGCCCCUCCAAAGGGCAAGCAGGCCUGUGCAGGGACAGCCCCUGCGGUGGUAGGCUUCAGGCAAUUGUUGAGGCCAGCCCUCCUGGAUGGCAGGCAGCCCCAGGUCUGGUGAGAGCGUAGGGGGUGGUGUGGGUGGGGGGAGGGGAUGCACUGGGAAGCACAGCUUUCUGCUAGCUAGCGGGCCUGUAAGCUUGCUGUGGCAUGGGGGGUAUUCUAUGGGGACCCACCCCUUCUUCUCUCCCCUCCCCAGCAGGGGUGCAGACCAGGCUCUUCUCCCAGGUUCUCUCUGAUGUGGCUUUCCACUUCCCCGCCCCUAGAGUAUUG